Molecule: ribosomal RNA, 479 nt
Filed under: uncultured bacterium
Lineage: Bacteria
Description: bacterial SSU rRNA
Rfam family: Bacterial small subunit ribosomal RNA
Source: RNAcentral
GACGAACGCUGGCGGCGUGCCUAACACAUGCAAGUCAACUUGACUGAAGGAGCAAUCUGACAGUAGAGUGGCGCAAGGGUGCGUAACGCGUAAGUAACUUGCCCAAGGUAAGGAAUAACGUCGAGAAAUCGGCGCUAAUACCUCAUAAUGCAGCGGAUCCGCAUGGAUAUGUUGUUAAAGGUUUACCGCCUUGGGAUAGGCUUGCGUCUGAUUAGUUAGUUGGUGUGGUAACGGCACACCAAGGCUACGAUCAGUAACUGGUCUGAGAGGAUGAUCAGUCACACUGGAACUGAGACACGGUCCAGACUCCUACGGGAGGCAGCAGUGAGGAAUAUUGGGCAAUGCUCGAAAGAGUGACCCAGCAACGCCGCGUGGAGGAUGAAGGUAUUCUAUAUCGUAAACUCCUGUGAGAGCAGACGAAAGACAGAUUAUUAAUCUGGAUGACUGUAUGCUCAGAGGAAGCCCCGGACUAACUACGU